Molecule: ribosomal RNA, 116 nt
Filed under: Pogona vitticeps (central bearded dragon)
Lineage: Eukaryota; Metazoa; Chordata; Lepidosauria; Squamata; Agamidae
Source: RNAcentral
CUGCCCUGCCAUCCUGGACACACCAAGUCUCAUCUGAUUAUGAAAGCUAAGCAGGGUCGACUCUGGUUGGGGUUGGGAUGGGAGACCAACAACAGGGAACAUCAAGAUUGUCCAGA